This 396-nucleotide ribosomal RNA is filed under the name uncultured bacterium. RNAcentral's name for it is "partial 16S ribosomal RNA". It matches the Rfam family "Bacterial small subunit ribosomal RNA", at positions 523 to 918 of the family's 1533-position model. The record is from RNAcentral.
AUACGUAGGUGGCGAGCGUUGUCCGGAAUUAUUGGGCGUAAAGCGCAUGUAGGCGGUAAUUUAAGUCUGUCGUGAAACUGCGGGGCUCAGCCCCGUAUGGCGAUGGAAACUGGGUUACUUGAGUGCAGGAGAGGAAAGGGGAACUCCCAGUGUAGCGGUGAAAUGCGUAGAUUUUGGGAAGAACACCGGUGGCGAAGGCGCCUUUCUGGCCGUGGUCUGACGCUGAGAGGCUAAAGCCAGGGUAGCGAACGGGAUUAGAUACCCCGGUAGUCCUGGCCGUAAACGAUGGGUACUAGGUGUGGGAGGUAUCGACCCCUUCCGUGCCGGAGUUAACGCAAUAAGUACCCCGCCUGGGGAGUACGGCCGCAAGGCUUAAACUCAAAUGAAUUGACGGGG